Molecule: RNA transcript, 1417 nt
Organism: Tigriopus californicus
Lineage: Eukaryota; Metazoa; Arthropoda; Copepoda; Harpacticoida; Harpacticidae
Gene name: 15-hydroxyprostaglandin dehydrogenase [NAD(+)]-like
Exons: 5
Source: RefSeq, a predicted model, not a curated record
GUUGUUGUAUCGAUAAACCCGAUUGGUCAGUCUUAAAAUGUCUUUCAAAGGACAAGCUUGUCUGAUCACUGGUGGAGCUCGAGGGAUCGGCAAAGCUAUUGCCCAAGAGCUCCUUCGACAUGGAGCUAAGUGUUUAAUAGGCGAUAUUCUGAUUCACGCAGGUGAGGAGACUUGUCGAGAGCUUGGCCAAGAAUUUGGCAAUGAGAAUGUGGGCUUCCUCCGAUUGGACGUGUCUUCCCACACCAACUUCGAGCUCGCCAUCGAGAAAUGUGUGGAAAGGUUCGGGAAGAUUGACGUUUUGAUUAACAACGCGGGGAUAAUUUCGGAAAUUGGGUGGGAAGCCCAACUCCAAAUUAAUCUCUUAGGAACGAUUCGUGGAUGCAAGUUGGGCAUCAAAUGCAUGAAGAUGGGUGGGAUGAUAUUGAACAUUUCCUCCAAUCAAGGGCUCCUUUCCUGGCCCGCUAUGCCCGUGUAUACGGCCGGAAAAACGGCCAUCAACGCCUUCACCAGAUCCAUGGGACAUCCUGUGGCGUUCCAAGAACAUGGAAUCAAAAUAUGUAGCCUCUGUCCUUAUGCCGUGGACACUCCGUUUCAACACUAUGUCAAACAUUGCGGCAUGUCUCAGGGACAUGAAACACAAGAACCUGAUUCAGGCCUUAGGGAAUCGCAAACGACCCACUAGCCCCUGAACGAGAGCUAAUUACAACCGUAAAUUCCUGAAAGUGGAUUCAAGUUCAGUUUUUUAGACGAUUUUGCAUCUGACAAAACUGAAAGAGCAAUUCCAUCAGAGUGACAGUGAUGAUCUUUAAAAGCCUAAUUGUCACCGUAUCUCUCCACCAACACUCAUUUGCGAGGGUCAUUAAGUGCAACAGCUUCUCAAUGAUGAUGAAUAUUCAGAUAAACGGAAUGAAGCCUUUACUCACCUGAAAGCUCAAUAUUCGUCUUCCCAGGGAGUCCUUUGAUUGGCAUUCAUCCAAUACUUUACGAUGGCAUUACCCUCUCGACCCGAUCUUAAUUUUCUUUCUUGCGAGGGGCCUCCCCUAAAUUAAGCAAAUGGCGUGUGGAGAUGCGAGAACCCACGCCCUAGAUUAAUGAACAAUUAUUCCACUCAUGCAGUGUUUCCACGGACAGACCCGACUUGGGGUUGGUCGGCAUUCGUUGGUUAUGAUGCCAAGUGGUUCGAGGUUUUGAAACAUGAAUUUGUCAACCAUGGCAAAAAAUGCACUUGGAGUAAUCACGGAUGGAUCUGGACAAUGCCAACGAAACCUAAUGGGCACUGAGUCCAAGAUUUAUGACGCCAUCAUUUUGAGCCGAUAAAUCAAGGACUCCAUGCCUUUUGGGCCUGAAGGUUACAUGUCUAUUAGAAUGGCCAUGUUGCCACAACAACAGAGAGUUAAAACAUUGAUCAUUUCUAGUG